AGAUUCGAAUAAAGGAUAUUUUGAACGAGUGUUCUUUUAUAUUUGUAAGCAAAUUGACAUUUAAAUAUUUAUCAUUUAUUCAUAUACGUGACCUUUAACAUUACUUUUAAGUGAAAUACUUAUUUCUUUAUUGUUAUUAAAAAUUGCUUCGAGACACUGUAUAUGAAUAUUUUCAGGAGACCAGAUAAUAGAAUUAUAUUACAUUGAACAAUAAAUUACAUUCGAGAGUGGAGCGUACUAAGAAAAAAUAUAUUGUUUUUAAUAGUAAUAGGAUUUGAAAAAACCUUAUAUGUUCUAGUAAUAAAUCCAAGAAUGGAUGAAUUUUUUGAUUGAGAUAUUUAAACAAUUCCAAUUAAAAAAUAAAGUUGUGUCAAACGUAACACUUAAAAGAUAUAAAAAAAGAUAUUACUUUACAUUUAUCAAUGUUUUAGAAUAAAUUGUUUUGUUUACACCAGAUUGAUAGGGUAUUUUAGCCAUAGUACAAGAAAACAGAAUCAGAGAAUGAUUUAACUAACCGAAAAAAUUUCAUAUCAUCAGCGAAUAGAAGUUUAAGAGAGUUUAGAAAAUUUAAAUCAUAAAUAAACAAAAUGAAUAACACGGGAGCUAGAUGUGAGCCUUGUGAAACUCCUAAUAGAUUAUCAAAUUUGAGGUAAAAUAUUUUACUUUGAAUAUUUGCUUUUUAUUUCGGUAUAAGAAAUCGACUAAGAUAAAAAACGAUCACGGAAACCAAUAGAAUAAAGGCUUUUAGAGAGGAGAUGUGAUUAAUUUUAUCGAAGGCCUUUGAAAAAUCAGUAUAGAUAUCAUCUACUUGAUACUCUAAAUCCAAAAGCGUCCGAUAUAAAUUUCUGAAAUAUCACUAGAUUAGUAGUUGUGGAUUUAGCCAUUAAAAAUCCGUGUUGAUCAUUAUUAACUAUUGGGGAAAGUAUAGCAUACAUUUUUUUGUAAACAAUUGAUUCAAAUAUCUUAGAUAUUAUAGAGAUCUAGAACUUCAGUAAUACUAAACAGGCAUAAUUGUAAGUUAACUUCAGCUGAAUUAGUUUUGAAAAGAAGACGGAAUGGAAUUGGUGUAAUUAAAUUAUUAUCAUGAAUACCGGAAAAAUAACGAGCAAAAAAAUUAACAAUAUCUUUACCACCAAUUAAGAGACAUUUAUUAUAGAACAUUCUAUUAGGAAUGGAUGUACACGUUUUUAAUUUAUGAAUCUCCAAAAUAAUUUUGGAUUGGCAAUUAAAGAAUUUUAGGUUUUAAAAAUAUAAUUAUUGAAACCAAGUUUAGAUCUCAAUUUACAUUUAGCACGUAGUUUAGAGAAGGCAUUAUAAUUUUUUUGCGUAGUUUUCUUGAAAAGCAUAUGAGCAAUUUUUUUUAUAUAGAUUUAGUCCCUCAAAUUCAAACUAAACCAUAAAGGAAAUUUAUUUAUAAAAUAUAUAUUUUUACAAAAAACUAUCAAUAAUUUUUUGACAACAAUUUAAUCCAUUAAACACGAGUUUCCAAUUAAUAUUAGCUAAUGAUGGCCUUAUAAUAAACACAAUUAACAUAAUCAUAAAAAGUAUAAUUAAAGUCUAAUAGUUUAGUAACUUCAAAUAUAAUAAAUUUAAUUAGUAAUGCUGGGUGACACAGAUAUCAAUUGAAACCAAAGUUGAUAGUUCACAUUGAACAUCAAUAGCCGAGGGUACAGGCUAGUCUGCUACGUUGGUUUAUCGUAAUCGGUUAGAGUGCUAGGUCAAUGGUAGAGAUGAUGGAAUUAACGGAAAUCCGGCCCCUAUAUAUUUAUAAAUUGCCGUAGUCGACUGGAGUAGCAUACUUAUUGGCACCGUGGUGAUUAGUAUGCUAUAGCGCGUGGUUCUCUGUGUGUAGUAUGUGGGGAAACCGCAGUCUCGGAACGGUCUGUUUAAUCGCGUCCGUGUCAGCAGGGCGUGCGCUGUAUAUUAUGAAUUAUGUUAUGCACGGUAACGGCAGAACUGUACCGUUACAAAGAUUUUCGAAAUUUGGAAAAAUUCUGCAAAUGUCUCAAACGGAGGGCUAUAUUUUCUUGGAAAAUGAUUUUUCGGAAAAUAUUUUUUCGGAACCGUUCAAUGUAAUUUCAUCAUAAGCAUUUCGUGUUUGCAUGUUAUCGUCGUUAGGUAAAAAUUAUUUUCCGACAAAAUAAGUUUCCGAUAAAAUAUUAUCCGACUAAAUAUUUUUCCGAAAAAAAUCUUUUCNGUACAUCAAAAUGAAUAACAUUGAAAUUCCCCAAAUAAAAACAAAAGACAAAAAAAUACUUGUAUACUUUUAUAUACAGAGGUGGCCAAAAGCCGCGAAACAAAUUUGCUACACAAUUUUUAUAAAACUGUUGUGUUUUAUGUUAAAUAUGUUGUUUUUUUAUAAACCUUGCUGUUGUUGUACGUAAACAGGAUAACGAGACCAAAGUUGCAAUAUGACGUAACGGAAACGACGAGGAGGGAGAAACUGCGCCAUAACGCGCAUUCCAUACAAGACAGUAGACGUUGAGCGACUUGUGGCUACUUCUGUAGAUUAGGUGAAAUUACUAGAUACGAGUUCAUAAAAACCACGUGGAGAAGUAUAACUUCCGAUCGUGAACGAUAAUUCCCGAAUAAUUAACGAAUCCUCCACCAUCCACCGUAUGGCAGCGCUAAAAACUCUGUUGUCGUGUGCAAAGGCGAUUAUUUUCUGAAUAAAGUUUAAAAAUAAAAUAUGAUCGGACAAAUUGACGCGUUAACUUUUUUUAGACAAAUACUACUUGAGAGCAGUUGCAACGUUUUUUAAAUUAUCGAUUUUUAUCACGGUUUUACAAGUACUGUAACAUAAUACAGUUUUUCUAAAAAACAAUGAAAUCUACACUUGCGUCGUUAAUUACAAGUUCAGAAGUAAUAUAAUAUAUUAUAUUAUUAUAUAUAUUGUUUACAUAAAGCAUUGAAAAUUGAAAUCUACUUAAUAGUUUACUAAUUUUUGCAUGUCUAACCAGUAUAAUAAUAAUAAAAAUAAUAAUAUUUUAGCACUUGAUUACAUCGAUAGGACAAGUAAGUAUAGUUUGUUUAAUAACUCUUACAUUUUAAUGAGUAGAUUAGUAUUUUUAUUUUAACACAAAGAAGUAAAAAGGAAAAGGCCAGAUUAUGUAUUUUUAUUUUUUAAUCGAAAAACUUUAUAAAGUUUUAAAUAUAAUAAUUUUUCGCGAUCUUAUUAUGGCAUUAUGCACUCUACAUUUCCAUCGAGCCUAUUUCUGCCCAAAUGAUUAAUACUAUUUUAUUUAAAUGAAAAAAUGUCGAUUUAAGUAUUUAUUGCUUAUGAGCGUCACUAUUAAAUAGUAUUAACUAUAGUAAAUAAGUAUAAAUAUAUGAUUAUAUUUUAUAGGUGACGCAUAUGAUUAUGUUGAGCAUCUGAUGACUUUUGCGGAUUUUGAUGGUACUUUUACAUGAAUUAAUAAUUAUAAUAAUUUUAGACAAUCAUUGUUUUUCUCACUCAAACACGACAAUGAUAACAUGACUGACAGUUCGGAUGUCCAAAUGAAGAACAUUUAACCUGCAGAAUUCUGCCUCUAAAAAAAUUUGGCCUUUAUGAUAAGUAAUAUUAUAUAAGUGGCUACUGCCCUCAAUAAAAAAAAAAACUGUGGCUUCCGUCCAAUUUUUCCUAUAGGAAUCACGUGGCAUAGUGAAUAUUUUACAAGGGAUUUUCGGAACUCUAACUAGGUAUUUAAUUUACACUCUAAUUUUAUAUGUACAUUCAGUAUCAAUAACGGUCUAAUAUACUAUUACAUUAACGCAUACAAUUAUAAUGUAAUUAAAUAUUCAUGUAAUCUUUUAUUCUUAUUUGUAGAGAAUAAUGUCACGGAGUCACAGCCAAAAGAAUUUUGCAAAAGGGAGGAGAUGAAUAAAAUCAAACCAAUUUCAUCCCUACUCCCGGAUUAGAAUCCUGAUGAAACCUGACAAAGCAAAUUUAUAUUUCAUUUAUAUUGUAUGUUAAAUAUUAAUCUGCAUAUUUUUCUGUUAGUAGAUUAUAAUAUUAUUAUUAAAAAUAGUCAUAUUUAUCGUAAGCACAUAAAAGUGUAUUUACGGGUGUGAAUAUAUUUCACAAUAUUAUAUUGUUAAAAAAAAAUAAAUUCGAU
Molecule: non-coding RNA, 4097 nt
Organism: Cinara cedri
Lineage: Eukaryota; Metazoa; Arthropoda; Insecta; Hemiptera; Aphididae
Source: the annotation of a GenBank genome assembly